Macaca mulatta (Rhesus monkey) is the source of this 1589-nucleotide RNA transcript. It is a transcript of the gene named unconventional prefoldin RPB5 interactor 1 pseudogene, with no coding region annotated. Lineage: Eukaryota; Metazoa; Chordata; Mammalia; Primates; Cercopithecidae. The record is from RefSeq and is a predicted model, not a curated record.
GCGAGGAGCAGGAAAAGGAAGAAGGUAGAUAAUGACUAUAAUGCCCUUCCAGAAAGACUCAGCACCUUGCCUGAUAAAUUGUCUUAUAAUAUAAUGGUACCAUUUGGCCCUUUUGCCUUCAUGCUAGGAAAACUUGUCCAUACUAAUGAAGUAAAUGUUUUACUGGGGGACAACUGGUUUGCAAAGUGCUCAGCAAAGCAGACUGUAAGUUUAGUUGAGCACCAGAAAGAACAUAUAAGAAAAACAAUAGAUGACUUUAAAAAAAUGAUGAAAAAUUUUGAAUCCAGAGUUGAAUUCACAGAAGAUUUGCAGAAAAUGAGUGAUGCUGCAGGUGAUAUCGUUGACAUAAGAGAAGAAAUUAAAUGUGACUUUGAAUUUAAAGCAAAACACCGAAUUGCUCAUAAACCGCAUUCCAAACCAAAAACUUCAGAUAUUUUUGAAGUAGAUGUUGUAAACGAUGUGAAAUCCAAGGAUUUGCCUGCUGAUAAAGAACUGUGGGCUCGACUUGAAGAACUAGAGAGACAAGAAGAAUUGCUGGGUGAACUUGAUAGUAAGCCUGAUAUUGUGAUUGCAAAUGGAGAAGAUACGACAUCUUCUGAAGAGGAAAAGGAAGAUCAUAACACAAAUGUGAAUGCAAUGCAUCAAGUAACAGACUCUCAUACUCUGGACAGUUGUCAUAAGGAUGUUGCAAGUUCAGAACCAUUCAGUGUUCAAAUGAGUAGUCAGUUGAACUGUUCAGUGAAUGGUUCCAGUUCUUACCACAGUGAUGAUGUUGACGAUGAUGAUGAUGUGGACGGUGACAACAUUGACGACGAUGAUAGUGAUAAUGACCAUGAGGCUUUAGGGAUUGGAGAUAAUUAUCUUCCAACAAUAUAUUUUUCUCAUACUGUUAAGCCUAAGAGGGUCCGAAUAAAUACUGGAAAGAAUACCACUUUAAAAUUCAGUGAAAAGAAAGAAGAAGACAAACGUAAAUGAAAGAACAGCACUGGCAGUGGCAACUCUGCCCAGGAGCUGCCGACCGUCAGGACACCUGCUGACAUUUACAGAGCCUUUGUUGAUGUUGUGAAUGGAGAAUAUGUCCCUCACAAAUCCAUGCUGAAGUCUCGAAGUAGAGAGAAUAGUGUGUGUAGUGACACCAGUGAAAGCAGUGCUGCUGAAUAUGACGAUAGGUGGGGAGUUUUGAGGAGUAUCAGCUGCGAAGAAGCCACUUGCAGUGACACCAGUGAGAGAACUUUGGAAGAGGAAACACAAGAAAAUCAUCAAAAGAAACUUUUACCCUUAUCAGUAACACCUGAGGAUUUUUCUGGAACUGUUAUAGAAAAAGAAUUUGUAUCACCUUCCUUAACACUACACCCAGCCAUUGCUCAUCCUGCACUACCCAUUAUUCCAGAAUGAAAGGAAGUUCUGUCAGAAGCAUCAGAAGAAACUGGAAAGAGGGUUUCAAAGGUUAAAGCUGCCAGAUUGCAACAGAAAAACUAGGCCCUGUCUAGGAAAUGAGAAUUUACAUCCUAAAACCUAGUUGUUCAUUUGUUUAGAAUAUCUAUAGCAAAAUAGGUCACAUGUAGUUUGAAAUAAGGUAUCCUGAGUUA